GACGAACGCUGUCGGCGUGCUUAACACAUGCAAGUCGAACGGAAAGGCCCUGCUUUUGUGGGGUGCUCGAGUGGCGAACGGGUGAGUAACACGUGAGUAACCUGCCCUUGACUUUGGGAUAACUUCAGGAAACUGGGGCUAAUACCGGAUAGGAGCUCCUGCUGCAUGGUGGGGGUUGGAAAGUUUCGGCGGUUGGGGAUGGACUCGCGGCUUAUCAGCUUGUUGGUGGGGUAGUGGCUUACCAAGGCUUUGACGGGUAGCCGGCCUGAGAGGGUGACCGGCCACAUUGGGACUGAGAUACGGCCCAGACUCCUACGGGAGGCAGCAGUGGGGAAUAUUGCACAAUGGGCGGAAGCCUGAUGCAGCAACGCCGCGUGCGGGAUGACGGCCUUCGGGUUGUAAACCGCUUUCGCCUGUGACGAAGCGUGAGUGACGGUAAUGGGUAAAGAAGCACCGGCUAACUACGUGCCAGCAGCCGCGGUGAUACGUAGGGUGCGAGCGUUGUCCGGAUUUAUUGGGCGUAAAGGGCUCGUAGGUGGUUGAUCGCGUCGGAAGUGUAAUCUUGGGGCUUAACCCUGAGCGUGCUUACGAUACGGGUUGACUUGAGGAAGGUAGGGGAGAAUGGAAUUCCUGGUGGAGCGGUGGAAUGCGCAGAUAUCAGGAGGAACACCAGUGGCGAAGGCGGUUCUCUGGGCCUUUCCUGACGCUGAGGAGCGAAAGCGUGGGGAGCGAACAGGCUUAGAUACCCUGGUAGUCCACGCUGUAAACGGUGGGUACUAGGUGUGGGGUCCAUUCCACGGGUUCCGUGCCGUAGCUAACGCUUUAAGUACCCCGCCUGGGGAGUACGGCCGCAAGGCUAAAACUCAAAGGAAUUGACGGGGCCCCGCACAAGCGGCGGAGCAUGCGGAUUAAUUCGAUGCAACGCGUAGAACCUUACCUGGGUUUGACAUGGAUCGGGAGUGCUCAGAGAUGGGUGUGCCUCUUUUGGGGUCGGUUCACAGGUGGUGCAUGGCUGUCGUCAGCUCGUGUCGUGAGAUGUUGGGUUAAGUCCCGCAACGAGCGCAACCCUUGUUCACUGUUGCCAGCACGUUAUGGUGGGGACUCAGUGGAGACCGCCGGGGUCAACUCGGAGGAAGGUGGGGAUGACGUCAAGUCAUCAUGCCCCUUAUGUCCAGGGCUUCACGCAUGCUACAAUGGCUGGUACAGAGAGUGGCGAGCCUGUGAGGGUGAGCGAAUCUCGGAAAGCCGGUCUCAGUUCGGAUUGGGGUCUGCAACUCGACCUCAUGAAGUCGGAGUCGCUAGUAAUCGCAGAUCAGCAACGCUGCGGUGAAUACGUUCCCGGGGCU
This 1346-nucleotide ribosomal RNA is filed under the name uncultured bacterium. RNAcentral describes it as "partial 16S ribosomal RNA". It matches the Rfam family "Bacterial small subunit ribosomal RNA", at positions 28 to 1381 of the family's 1533-position model. The record is from RNAcentral.